GACGAACGCUGGCGGCGUGCCUAAUACAUGCAAGUAGAACGCUGAAAUCUGGUGCUUGCACCGGAUGGAUGAGUUGCGAACGGGUGAGUAACGCGUAGGUAACCUACCUCAUAGCGGGGGAUAACUAUUGGAAACGAUAGCUAAUACCGCAUAACAGUCUUUAACUCAUGUUAGAGUCUUGAAAGGGGCAAUUGCUUCACUAUGAGAUGGACCUGCGUUGUAUUAGCUAGUUGGUGAGGUAACGGCUCACCAAGGCGACGAUACAUAGCCGACCUGAGAGGGU
RNAcentral lists this ribosomal RNA (283 nucleotides) under uncultured bacterium. RNAcentral describes it as "partial 16S ribosomal RNA". It matches the Rfam family "Bacterial small subunit ribosomal RNA", at positions 28 to 301 of the family's 1533-position model. The record is from RNAcentral.